AUUUAGCUGACGACUCGUAAAUAAGACGAAAUGCGCAUCCUGGAU
This 45-nucleotide non-coding RNA is filed under the name Trichobilharzia regenti. Lineage: Eukaryota; Metazoa; Platyhelminthes; Trematoda; Strigeidida; Schistosomatidae. The record is from RNAcentral.